GAAUGGUCCAGAAGGUUCCAUGAGGUCCCCAGGGCUGUGGGAAAGGUCCAGAGGGUUCCGUGAGGUCCCCAGGACUAUGGAAAGGUCCAGAAGGUUCCAUGAGGUCCCCAGGGCUGUGGGAAAGGUCCAGAGGGUUCCGUGAGGUCCCCAGGGCUGUGGGAAAGGUCCAGAAGGUUCCACCAGGUCCCAGGGCUGUGGGAAUGGUCCAGAAGGUUCCAUGAGGUCCCCAGGGCUGUGGGAAUGGUCCGGAAGGUUCCAUGAGGUCCCUAAGGCUGUGGGAAUGGUCCAGAAGGUUCCACCAGGUCCCAGGACUAUGGAAAGGUCCAGAAGGUUCCACCAGGUCCCCAGGGCUGUGGGAAUGGUCCGGAAGGUUCCAUGAGGUCCCCAGGGCUGUGGGAAUGGUCCAGAAGGUUCCACCAGGUCCCAGGACUAUGGAAAGGUCCAGAAGGUGCCACCAGGUCCCUAGGGCUGUGGAACGGUCCAGAAGGUUCCGUGAGGUCCCUAAGGCUGUGGGAAUGGUCCAGAAGGUUCCGUGAGGUCCCCAGGACUGUGGGAAUGGUCCAGAAGGUUCCGUGAGGUCCCCAGGGCUGUGGGAAAGGUCCAGAAGGUGCCAGCAGGUCCCCAGGGCUGUGGAAUGGUCCAGAAGGUUCCGUGAGGUCCCCAGGACUAUGGAAUGGUCCAGAGGGUUCCAUGAGGUCCCCAGGGCUGUGGAAUGGUCCAGAAGGUUCUCUGAGGUCCCCAGGGCUGUGGAAUGGUCCAGAAGGUUCUGUCAGGUCCCCAGGGCUGUGGGAAAGGUCCAGAAGGUUCUGUGAGGUCCCCAGGGCUGUGGGAAUGGUCCAGAAGGUUCUGUGAGGUCCCCAGGGCUGUGGGAAGGGUCCAGAAGGUUCCGUGAGGUCCCCAGGGCUGUGGGAAUGGUCCAGAAGGUUCCGUGAGGUCCCUAAGGUUGUGGGAAAGGUCCAGAAGGUUCCACCAGGUCCCAGGGCUGUGGGAAUGGUCCAGAAGGUUCUGUGAGGUCCCCAGGGCUGUGGGAAUGGUCCAGAAGGUUCCACCAGGUCCCCAGGGCUGUGGGAAUGGUCCAGAAGGUUCUGUGAGGUCCCCAGGACUAUGGAAUGGUCCAGAAGGUUCCGUGAGGUCCCUAAGGCUGUGGGAAAGGUCCAGAAGGUUCCACCAGGUUCCCAGGGCUAUGGAAUGGUCCAGAGGGUUCCAUGAGGUCCCCAGGACUAUGGAAAGGUCCAGAAGGUUCCACCAGGUUCCCCAGAACUAUGGAAUGGUCCAGAAGGUUCUGUGAGGUCCCCAGGACUAUGGAAAGGUCCAGAAGGUGCCACCAGGUUCCCCAGAACUAUGGAAUGGUCCAGAAGGUUCUGUGAGGUCCCCAGGACUAUGGAAAGGUCCAGAAGGUGCCACCAGGUCCCCAGGUCUCCUUCUGGGAAGGGGUUGAGGUCUCAUCUCCUCGUUGAAGGCCGUCAGGAGGAGGGGGUGGAUGAGGAGGGGGAUGAGGGUGGGAUCGGUGGGAUCGGCAGGAGAUGGAUGGUGUUGGGGGGGGGGAGGUGACAAUGGAAGUGGUGACCCCCCUCAAAACCCGGGACACCCCUGGCUGAGGCCCCCACGGAGCCGAGGGGGCUCCGGGACUCCGCGUCGGGCGGCUCCUCCGAGGCCCUCGGGAGGG
Molecule: long non-coding RNA, 1666 nt
Organism: Pseudopipra pipra
Lineage: Eukaryota; Metazoa; Chordata; Aves; Passeriformes; Pipridae
Exons: 3
Source: RefSeq, a predicted model, not a curated record